RNAcentral lists this ribosomal RNA (775 nucleotides) under uncultured Neocallimastigales. Its description in RNAcentral is "partial large subunit ribosomal RNA". It matches the Rfam family "Eukaryotic large subunit ribosomal RNA", at positions 22 to 621 of the family's 3401-position model. Lineage: Eukaryota; Fungi; Neocallimastigomycota; Neocallimastigomycetes; Neocallimastigales. The record is from RNAcentral.
AUAUCAGUCAUGCAUAGCAUAUCAAUAAGCGGAGGAAAAGAAACUAACAAGGAUUCCCUUAGUAACGGCGAGUGAAGCGGGAAGAGCUCAAAUUUGAAAUCUUCAAGGUUUUACCUUGACGAAUUGUAGUUUAAAGAAGUGUUUUCUGUUGAAGUUUUGGUAAAAGUUCUUUGGAAUAGGACAUCAUAGAGGGUGAGAAUCCCGUAUUUGACCAUUACUUUCAGCUUUGUGAUACACUUUCAAAGAGUCGGAUUGUUUGGGAAUGCAGGUCCAAAAUGGGUGGUAAAUUUCAUCUAAAGCUAAAUAUUGGCGAGAGACCGAUAGCGAACAAGUACCGUGAGGGAAAGAUGAAAAGAACUUUGAAAAGAGAGUUAAACAGUACGUGAAAUUGUCAAAAGGGAAGCGUUUGACACCAGUGUUGUUUUCUCGAAAAUCAAUUAAAAAGAGUUGGAUUUUGUGUUGUAUUGACUUUAUCGGCUUUCUUCACUCUUUUCCAGCUUUUUUUAAUGCACUUUUCGUUUAACAAGUCAACAUCAGUUUCUUUUGUUGUAAAAAGGUCAUUGGAAGGUGGCUUUCUCUUCGGAGAAAGUGUUUAUAGCCUUUGACUCAUGCAAUCGGAGAGACUGAGGUCUGCAGCAUAGAUCCUUCGGGGUUAGAUACAUUUGUGCUAAGUUAUAGCUUUUCAUAGACAACUUGUUGACUAUGUUUAGUCUUGUAGCUUACUCGCUUAUGCUAUUUUACCUACGCUUAGGAUGUUGAACUCUAUCACACACAG